GCGCCUGUGGCCUAACGGAUAAGGCAACAGCCUCCGGAGCUGUGUAUGACAGUUCAAUUCUGUCCAGGCGCGCCA
This 75-nucleotide transfer RNA is filed under the name Candidatus Omnitrophota bacterium. RNAcentral describes it as "tRNA-Arg". It matches the Rfam family "tRNA". From Rfam's summary of the family: Transfer RNA (tRNA) molecules are approximately 80 nucleotides in length. Their secondary structure includes four short double-helical elements and three loops (D, anti-codon, and T loops). The record is from RNAcentral. Lineage: Bacteria; Pseudomonadati; Candidatus Omnitrophota.